This 3730-nucleotide long non-coding RNA is filed under the name Jatropha curcas. RNAcentral describes it as "long non-coding RNA (JCUR_LNC002976)". The record is from RNAcentral. Lineage: Eukaryota; Viridiplantae; Streptophyta; Magnoliopsida; Malpighiales; Euphorbiaceae.
UUUUGAGCUCUUGUGUGAUGUUCAAUCUUCUGCUUGAAAAAUGCGAAUUUGAGUCUCCUUUUAUAUGCUUAAACAAAAGUCAGCUUUAGUUUUACAUUGGAUGCUUUUUUUAUUUUUUUGGUAUGUGAACAAAGUUUGGCAUUAUUUUGAUCCUUUUUUUUCAUUUUGCCAACUGCCCUCAUACGAAUAUAUCUGCUUUCUUUCUUGUGUGUGGUUGUCUGGCGAACUUUGGGGGGGGGACUCGUGAGUUUGUUUUUGAGUUCUUUUGUGAUGGUGGGUGACUCGUGAGUUUGUUUUUGAGUUCUUUUGUGAUGUUCAAUCUUCUGAUUGAAAAAGGCUAGUCUGAGCCUCCUUUUCUAUGCUUAAAAUCAAGGUCGGCUUUUUAGUUUACUUUGGUGAGGUGACUCUGUGAGCUUCUGAUUUUGAGUGUUUUUUGUGAUGUUCAAUCUUCUGCUUGAAAAUUGCGAAUUUGAGUCUCCUUUUAUUUGCUUAGAUCAAGGUCGGCUUAGUUUUACAUUCGGUGAAUGUUGUUGGUAUGUGAACAAAGUUUGGUAUAAUUUUGAUACUUGUUUCUCAUGUUGGCAACAGCCCUAACACCAAUAUAUUUUCUUUCUUUCUUGUGUGUGUGAGUGGCUGUCUGGCAAACUUUGGGUGGGUGACUCGUGAGCUUCUUAUUUGAGCUCUUUUGUGAUGUUCAUUCUUCUACUUGAAAAUGCGAAUUUGAGCCUCCUUUUGUAUGCUUAAGUCGAUGUCGGCUUUAGUUUUACAUUCAAUGAAUGUUGUUGGUACGUGAACAAAGUUUGGCAUAAUAUGGAUCCUUGUUUCUCAUGUUGGCAACAGCCCUAACACCAAUAUAUUUUCUUUCUUUCUUGUGUGUGUGAGUGGCUGUCUGGCAAACUUUGGGUGGGUGACUCGUGAGCUUCUUAUUUGAGCUCUUUUGUGAUGUUCAUUCUUCUACUUGAAAAUGCGAAUUUGAGCCUCCUUUUGUAUGCUUAAGUCGAUGUCGGCUUUAGUUUUACAUUCAAUGAAUGUUGUUGGUACGUGAACAAAGUUUGGCAUAAUAUGGAUCCUUGUUUCUCAUGUUGGCAACAGCCCUUAUACCAAUAUAUUUGCUUCUUUCUUGUGGGUGUGAGUGGCUGUUUGGCGAACUUUGUGUGGGUGACUCGUGAGCUUCUAAUUUUUAGCUCUUUUGUGAUGUUCAAUCUUCUGCUUGAAACAGGCGAAUCGGAGCUUCCUUUUAUAUGCUUGAAUCAAGGCCGGCUUGAGUUUACUUUUGUUGGGUGACUCGUGAGCUUCUGAAUUUGAGCUCUUUUGUGAUGUUCAAUCUUCUACUUGAAAAAGGCGAAUUUGAGUCUCCUUUUAUUAACUCAAGGUUUGCUUUAGUUUUACAUUCACCGAAUGUUGUUGGUUUGUGAAUAAAGUUUUGCGUAAUUUUGAUCCUUAUGUGAACAAAAGUUUCGCAUAAUUUUGAUCCUUGUUUCUCACGUUGCCAACAGCUCUUAUACCAAUAUAUUUGCUUUCUUAUUUGUGUGCGAGUGGCUGUCUGGGGAGCUUUGGGUGGGUGACUGGUGAGCUUUUAAUUUUGAGCUCUUUUCUGAUGUUCAAUUUUAUGCUUGAAAAAGGCGAAUCUGAGUCUCCUUUUAUAUGCUUUUAGAUCAAGAUUGGCUUUGGUUUACCUUGUUUAGGUGACUCGUGAGCUUCUGAUUUUGAGCUCUUUUGUGAUGUUCAAUCUUCUGCUUGAAUAAGGCGAAUCUUAGCCUCCUUUUAUAUGCAAAACAAGGUCUGCCUUAGUUUUACAUUCGGUGAAUGUUGUUCGUAUGUGAAUAAGGUUUGGCAUUAUUUUGAUCCUUAUUUCUCAUGUUGCCAAUAGCCCUUAUAUGAAUGUAUCUGCUUUCUUUCUUGUGUGUGUGAGUGGCUGUGUGGCGAACAUUGGGUGGGUGACUCGUGAGCUUCUGAUUUUGAGCUGUUUUGUGAUGUUCAAUCUUCUGCUUGAAAAAGGCGAAUCUCAGCCUCUUUUUGUUUGCUUUAGUUUUACAUUCGGUGAAUAUUGUUGGUAUGUGAACAAAGUUUGGCGUAAUUUUGAUCUUUCUUGUUGUUGAUAUGUGAACAAAGUUUGGCAUAAUUUUGAUCCUUGUUUCUCAUGUUGCCAACAGCCCUUAUACCAAUAUAUCUGCUUUCUUUUGGGUGUGUGAGUGGCUGUCUGGCGAACUUUGGGUGGGUGACUCGUGAGCUUUUGAUUGUGAGCUAUUUUGUGAUGUUCAAUUUUAUGCUUGAAAAAGGCGAAUUUGAGUCUCCUUUUAUAUACUUUUAAAUCAAGGUCGGCUCUCGUUUACCUUGGUUAGGUGAAUCGUGAGCUCCUGAUUUUGUGCUCUUUUGUGAUGUUCAAUCUUCUGCUUGAAAGAGGCUAAUCUUAGCCUCCUUUUAUAUGCAAAACAAGGUCAGCUUUAGUUUUACAUUCGGUGAAUUUUGUUCGAAUGUGAAAUAAGUUUUGCAUUAUUUUAAUCCUUGUUUCUCAUGUUGCCAACAGCCCUUAUAGGAAUAUAUAUGCUUUCUUUUUUGUGUGUGAGUGGCUGUGUGGUGAACUUUGGGUGGGUGACUCGAGAGCUUCUGAUUUGAGCUGUUUUGUGACUCGAGAGCCUGUUUUUGUUUGCUUAAAUCAAGGUCGGCUUUAGUUUUAUAUUCGGUGAAUGUUUUUAGUAUGUGAACAAAGUUUGGCGUAAUUUUGAUCCUUCUUGUUGUUGGUAUGUGAGCAAAGUUUGGCAUAAUUAUGAUCCUUAUUUCUCAUGUUGGCAACUGCCCUUGUACCAAUUUAUCUGCUUUCUUUCUUGUGUGUGGCUGUUUGGUGAACUUUGUGUAGGUGACUCGUGAGCUUCUGAUUUUGAGCUCUGUUGUGAUGUUUCAAUCUACUGCUUAAAAAAGGUGAAUCUGAUCCUCCUCUUUAUGCUUAAAUCAAGGUCGGCUUUAGUUUUAGAUUCGGUGAAUGUUGUUGGUAUGCAAACAAAGUUUAGCAUAAUUUUGAUCAUUGUUUCUCAUGUUGGCCACAGCCCUUGUACCAAUACCUAUCUGCUAUUUUUCUUGUGUGUGAGUGGCUGUUUUGCGAACUUUUGGUGGGUGACUCGUGAGCUUCUGAUUUUGAGCUCUUUUGUGAUCCAUUUUUUGCUUAAAAAAGAUGAAUCUUAUCCUCCUUUUACAUGCUUGAAUCUAGGUUGGCUUUGGGAGGUGUAUGGCUUCGGGGUGAGAUUUUUUAUCAUUAGUUUGCCCUGUGAGGUGGAUGGUUUCGGGGUGAUAGACUAGAUUUGAUCACAGUAGAGAAUGUUCAAAAUGAAAACAAAACAAAACUCACUAACAGCUGGUAUGCAUAUUUUAGAUAAAAAACGUAGAAAUAAUGCAACAACAACGUGGUCAAGUAUUUUGACUUAGCUGCAUUUAAGGCCACAUCGGUGAGCUCUGAUUUAUCAUCUUUAACGUUUCAUGUCACUUUAUUUUAAAGAUGGUACUUUUGGGUAAAUUGCAUGUGAGAUGUUCCAUUAUUUUAAAGAUGGAAGUGAAAUUUUUCUUUCGAGCGGUGAUACAUGAUUCGAAUGUAGGGGAGUUUUUUAAAAUUUUUGGUGGAACCCAGAUGACUCGCCAGCUAUUAGUAUGCGGGUAGGUUAUUUGGUAGUUAAUUUUGCUAACUUAGAUAUUUAUUUAUGUUAAUUACUGUAGCUAACUAUAAUUCCCUGGUAUAAUU